CGGGCGGCGGCCGGAGCGUUCAGACGUGUGUCUGUGCGUGCGUCUUGUUCGUUAAAUUAUUAAAUAAAUUAUUAAACCGCGACCGCGACACGAAUUAAUUAAAGUGAUUCUGUGCUGUGUUGUGCUGUGAAAUUUUAAGGAUAUUUUGUACAAGGGACAAUUUAACCGCAAAAAGUUUUAUCACAUGUUUUGCUUCCACCUUCAAGGGUCGCCCAACACGAAUGCCAAGAUUGCAUUAAACAGUCGUCAAAUGUGCUAACCAUUGCAAUUUCCACUUGGAGUUAUGAAUUUUGAGAGCUCAAAAGCUGGUGUCUGUGUUGGAUUGCCUUACGGACUGGUUGCAGCCGGCCAGCGGGAUUCGGAGGAUUUCAAAGGCGUUCUUCGUCUGGUUCUUCAGAAAUUAUUUUUUAACUGACAAUAAUUAUUAUUAAACGUUGUUAUAUUUGUGUGAUUGAUUAUGUUUUUUUAAUAAACGCUAAAGAAAUG
Tribolium castaneum (red flour beetle) is the source of this 486-nucleotide long non-coding RNA. RefSeq lists it as uncharacterized. The record is from RefSeq and is a predicted model, not a curated record. NCBI's taxonomy places the organism in Eukaryota, Metazoa, Arthropoda, Insecta, Coleoptera, Tenebrionidae. The transcript has 4 exons.